UUUGGUGCCUGGAGGCUUAGGCCUCGGGUGAAAAGGGAACCAGGUGGGAAUCCUGGACAGACGGUGCUGCUGUGUGCCUCCUAACGAAAUUCCCGCACUUGACCACUGCGCCACGACGUGGGAAGGUCAAGUGUCAACAAUGGGGUGGGGCGAGUCAGAAGACCUGCCAAGUCG
Molecule: non-coding RNA, 174 nt
Filed under: bovine gut metagenome
Source: RNAcentral